CGGGACGGGUGAGUAAUGUAUGGGGAUCUGCCUGAUGGCGGGGGAUAACUACUGGAAACGGUAGCUAAUACCGCAUAAUGUCUGCGGACCAAAGCGGGGGACCUCCGGGCCUCGCGCCAUCAGAUGAACCCAUAUGGGAUUAGCUAGUAGGUAAGGUAACGGCUUACCUAGGCGACGAUCCCUAGCUGGUCUGAGAGGAUGACCAGCCACACUGGAACUGAGACACGGUCCAG
This 233-nucleotide ribosomal RNA is filed under the name uncultured bacterium. RNAcentral's name for it is "partial 16S ribosomal RNA". It matches the Rfam family "Bacterial small subunit ribosomal RNA", at positions 100 to 334 of the family's 1533-position model. The record is from RNAcentral.